UGCAGUCGACGGUAACAGGCCUUCGGGCGCUGACGAGUGGCGGACGGGUGAGUWACGCGUAGGAAUCUGCCUGUUAGUGGGGGACRACGUGGGGAAACCCACGCUAAUACCGCAUACSCCCUACGGGGGAAAGGAGGGGAUCUUCGGACCUUUCGCUAACAGAUGAGCCUGCGUUAGAUUAGCUAGUUGGUAGGGUAAAGGCCUACCAAGGCGACGAUCUAUAGCUGGUCUGAGAGGACGAUCAGCCACACUGGGACUGARACACGGCCCAGACUCCUACGGGAGGCAGCAGUGGGGAAUAUUGGACAAUGGGCGAAAGCCUGAUCCAGCAAUACCGCGUGUGUGAAGAAGGCCUUAGGGUUGUAAAGCACUUUCAAUUGGGAGGAAAACCUAUCGAUCAAUACCCGAUAGCUUGACAUUACCUUUAGAARAAGCACCGGCUAACUCCGUGCCAGCAGCCGCGGUAAUACGGAGGGUGCGAGCGUUAAUCGGAAUUACUGGGCGUAAAGCGUGCGUAGGCGGUUCGUUAAGUCAGAUGUGAAAGCCCUGGGCUCAACCUGGGAACUGCAUUUGAAACUGGCGGACUAGAGUUUAGUAGAGGGGAGUGGAAUUUCAGGUGUAGCGGUGAAAUGCGUAGAUAUCUGAAGGAACACCAGUGGCGAAGGCGACUCCCUGGACUAGAACUGACGCUGAGGUACGAAAGCGUGGGUAGCAAACAGGAUUAGAUACCCUGGUAGUCCA
This 741-nucleotide ribosomal RNA is filed under the name uncultured bacterium. RNAcentral describes it as "bacterial SSU rRNA". It matches the Rfam family "Bacterial small subunit ribosomal RNA", at positions 56 to 797 of the family's 1533-position model. The record is from RNAcentral.